UACAGCUUAAAAAACCAGACACUCUUUUUAUCUGCUCUAUCUAGAACACAUUUCUUUGUGUAAAUUUCACAAGAACGUUGACCUAAUUUUACUUCUUUCACGUGUAUCGCUGUGGAAAUAUUGACACUAUGUUUUGUGUGAAGCUCCUUGGUUUGCUUGUUGCGGCAUUAUUACUUAUUCCUGAAAGCUAUGCUACAUACGAUAAAAUGGAAUGUCACGAAUGUGACAGAAUGGCAGAUCACUGUGCUUUUCGUUGUCAAUGGCAACCGACAUACGCUAAAUUCUUUUACUGUGACGACCAUUGCACGCGACGAAACUUAGCUUGCCAAUCCCGUUGUAUCAGGAGAGACGGUCAGCCAGUACUUGUACGAAACGUGCCAAUUGCCAGGAAAAUCGGAGGUUCAUCGGUACCGAAGCAGCCAAUACGAAUUAAGGAGCAAGAUAUUCAACAGUACUAUCAGCAUGGAAAAUAAACAGACUAUCGUUGACGUAAAAAAAGAAAUAGAAAGAGGGACCAAUCAUUUAACGAACCCAACCUUAUUUAACAUAUCUAACAUUUUCAAACAUCACAGUAUGAAAAGGAGUAUUGGAAUUUUUUAAUAAAGCAAUGCACACUUUUGUUUUAUAA
Long non-coding RNA from Mytilus californianus (California mussel), 628 nucleotides. RefSeq lists it as uncharacterized. The record is from RefSeq and is a predicted model, not a curated record. The transcript is spliced from 2 exons. Lineage: Eukaryota; Metazoa; Mollusca; Bivalvia; Mytilida; Mytilidae.